UAUGGCAGACUAGUGCAUUGGAUUUAAACUCCUAUUAUAAAGACCCAGCUCUUUUAUUAAAA
RNAcentral lists this transfer RNA (62 nucleotides) under Temnothorax aztecus. RNAcentral's name for it is "tRNA-Leu". The record is from RNAcentral. Lineage: Eukaryota; Metazoa; Arthropoda; Insecta; Hymenoptera; Formicidae.